UACGUAGGGGGCAAGCGUUAUCCGGAUUUAUUGGGCGUAAAGCGCACGCAGGCGGCUGAUUAAGUCUGACGUGAAAUCUCCCGGCUUAACCGGGAGCGGUCGUUGGAAACUAAUCGGCUCGAGGCGAUGAGAGGGGUGUGGAAUUCCCGGUGUAGUGGUGGAAUGCGUAGAUAUCGGGAGGAACACCUGUGGCGAAAGCGGCGCACUGGACCAUAACUGACGCUGAUGCGCGAAAGCUAGGGGAGCAAACAGG
RNAcentral lists this ribosomal RNA (253 nucleotides) under uncultured bacterium. Its description in RNAcentral is "partial 16S ribosomal RNA". It matches the Rfam family "Bacterial small subunit ribosomal RNA", at positions 524 to 776 of the family's 1533-position model. The record is from RNAcentral.